RNAcentral lists this long non-coding RNA (395 nucleotides) under Setaria viridis. RNAcentral's name for it is "long non-coding RNA (SVIR_LNC006264)". Lineage: Eukaryota; Viridiplantae; Streptophyta; Magnoliopsida; Poales; Poaceae. The record is from RNAcentral.
GGAGGUGGUGUACCUGUUCCUCGAGAGGAUUGAUGAUUCCAAACUCUUGGAUAUGCUAAAAAGCAAAAGGUGGUGUGCCUUUUGUGCUAAGUUCACUGGGGAGCUUUGUUACGAGGGCAGCUGCUAAUAAGCAAAAGGGAAAAAUGAUGAUAAAACAGGAGGGAUCCUUAAUUUGACCACAGCGAGGGGGUCCCACUAUCAGAAGUUAGGUGGUGUGCCUUCAGUAAUCAUUUAAGCCAAUAUGGAGAUCAUACUCUGUUUCUCAUGGUAAAGAUAGCAGAACGAUUGAUAAACAUCUAUUCAGUAAUACAUCACUGAAAAUCCCUGGACAUCGAAACAAAUUUGAACUAUUAGUAGACACUUAAUAUCUAACAUGGUCUCCAACUCCAGCUAUA